UAACACGUGGAUAAUCUGCCCUUAGGCGGAGGAUAAUCUCGGGAAACUGAGAAUAAUACUCCAUAGGCCUAGGAUGCUGGAAUGCAUCUAGGCUGAAAAUUCCGGUGCCUAAGGAUGAGUCUGCGGACUAUCAGGUUGUAGUCAGGGUAAUGACCUGACUAGCCUACGACGGAUAUGGGUUGUGAGAGCAAUAACCCAGAGAUGAUAUCUGAGACACGAUAUCAGGCCCUACGGGGCGCAGCAGGCGCGAAAACUUCACACUGUGCGAAAGCACGAUGAGGGAAUCCCAAGUGCUUGCACGUAAGUGUAAGCUGUUUUUAUGUUUAAAACGCAUAGAGAGUAAGGGCUGGGUAAGACGGGUGCCAGCCGCCGCGGUAAUACCUGCAGCUCAAGUGGUGGCCGCUAUUAUUGGGCCUAAAACGUCCGUAGCCGGUUUAAUAAAUGCCUGGGUAAAUCGUGUAGCUCAACUAUACGAAUUCCGGGUAGACUGUUAAACUUGGGACCGGGAGAAGUUAGAGGUACUCCUGGGGUAGAGGUGAAAUUCUGUAAUCCUAGGGGGACCACCAGUGGCGAAGGCGUCUGACUAGAACGGGUCUGACGGUGAGGGACGAAGCCCUGGGGCGCAAACCGGAUUAGAUACCCGGGUAGUCCAGGGUGUAAACGCUGCUUGCUUGAUGUUAGUCGGGCUCCGAGCCCGAUUAGUGUCGGAGAGAAGUUGUUAAGCAAGCUGCCUGGGAAGUACGGUCGCAAGGCUGAAACUUAAAGGAAUUGGCGGGGGAGCACAGCAACGGGUGGAGCGUGCGGUU
Molecule: ribosomal RNA, 806 nt
Filed under: uncultured archaeon
Lineage: Archaea
Description: bacterial SSU rRNA
Rfam family: Archaeal small subunit ribosomal RNA
Source: RNAcentral